UGGGGAAUAAUUGGGCAAUGGGCGCAAGCCUGACCCAGCAACGCCGCGUGAAGGAAGAAGGCUUUCGGGUUGUAAACUUCUUUUAAGAGGGAAGAGCAGAAGACGGUACCUCUUGAAUAAGCCACGGCUAACUACGUGCC
RNAcentral lists this ribosomal RNA (140 nucleotides) under uncultured bacterium. Its description in RNAcentral is "partial 16S ribosomal RNA". It matches the Rfam family "Bacterial small subunit ribosomal RNA", at positions 355 to 509 of the family's 1533-position model. The record is from RNAcentral.